AAACCAUGAUUGAGACAUUUUAUGAGCAUGGACUUGUAUCUAUCCCAUGCCUCACACAAACUUUCACAUGCACUUUGAGAAAAAAAUAUAAAUUGUAGUUUUUAAGUCC
Molecule: small nucleolar RNA, 109 nt
Organism: Lupinus angustifolius (narrow-leaved blue lupine)
Lineage: Eukaryota; Viridiplantae; Streptophyta; Magnoliopsida; Fabales; Fabaceae
Rfam family: Plant small nucleolar RNA R71
About the family: R71 is a member of the C/D box family of snoRNAs containing the C (UGAUGA) and D (CUGA) box motifs. Multiple nearly identical copies of this snoRNA have been identified in Arabidopsis, and it is thought to function as a 2'-O-ribose methylation guide for 18S ribosomal RNA.
Source: Rfam